Molecule: ribosomal RNA, 497 nt
Filed under: uncultured bacterium
Lineage: Bacteria
Description: partial 16S ribosomal RNA
Rfam family: Bacterial small subunit ribosomal RNA
Source: RNAcentral
GAUGAACGCUGGCGGCGUGCCUAAUACAUGCAAGUCGAGCGAACGGACGAGAAGCUUGCUUCUCUGAUGUUAGCGGCGGACGGGUGAGUAACACGUGGAUAACCUACCUAUAAGACUGGGAUAACUUCGGGAAACCGGAGCUAAUACCGGAUAAUAUUUUGAACCGCAUGGUUCAAAAGUGAAAGACGGUCUUGCUGUCACUUAUAGAUGGAUCCGCGCUGCAUUAGCUAGUUGGUAAGGUAACGGCUUACCAAGGCAACGAUGCAUAGCCGACCUGAGAGGGUGAUCGGCCACACUGGAACGGAGACGCGGUCCAUGCUCCUACGGGAGGCAGCAGUAGGGAACCUGCCGCAAUGGGCGGAAGCCUGGCGGAGCAGCGCCGAGUGAGUGAUGAAGGUCUUCGGAUCGUAAAACUCUGUUAUUAGGGAAGAACAUAUGUGUAAGUAACUGUGCACAUCUUGACGGUACCUAAUCAGAAAGCCACGGCUAACUACGUG